CUGGCUGGCUCCAUGCUUCUGCAUCGAACGGUUGGCAUGCAAUCCGGUUUCAAGUGAACGUCCCUCUUAGUUGCGUGAUUUCGGUUCCUGCGUUGCCUACCUCUUGAAAGGUAUUCGUGUGGCUUGUCGGAUUUUUGUCCAUCCAGUCCUCCUCGAGGGGCUCUGGGGGAUAUCGAAAUGAUACAUGUGUUCCACGCGUUGUUUGAUGUUGAAGCAACCGUGGUGCAUAUGUAUUUGUUGCUCUCUCGGAUGCGGUGCAUGAGAUGAAACAUGGGAAAUUUUCCACUGCUGUCCCUUUAAUCUCGGUUGCCUUGAACGACACUUGCCUCUGUGCUUGCUUGCUCUCCACUCGUGGUUUUGCAUGCAGGCACCGACGAGCAAAGUUGUUGAUGGAUG
This 396-nucleotide unclassified non-coding RNA is filed under the name Lotus carpetanus. RNAcentral's name for it is "partial external transcribed spacer". Lineage: Eukaryota; Viridiplantae; Streptophyta; Magnoliopsida; Fabales; Fabaceae. The record is from RNAcentral.